GCGCGCGAUGGCGAAGGUGAUCGUGACGGCGAUCGGCUCGGCGGGCGACGUGCAUCCGCUGCUCGGCGUCGCGCGCGCGCUC
RNAcentral lists this transfer RNA (82 nucleotides) under Burkholderia stagnalis. RNAcentral's name for it is "tRNA-Pro". The record is from RNAcentral. Lineage: Bacteria; Pseudomonadati; Pseudomonadota; Betaproteobacteria; Burkholderiales; Burkholderiaceae.